AAGUCGUAACAAGGUUUCCGUAGGUGAACCUGCGGAAGGAUCAUUAGUGUUUGGAGGAUUUUGGGUGGGUGGAGGGGAUUUGGAUGGAGGGGAUGAUUUGGUUUUGAUCAGAGACCGAAUGUGUUCAAUUCAGUCCAGUCCAAUCCAAUCCAAUCCCAAAUCACAUUUACGCUUGUCGAGUUUGACCGAGUAAACAACGUUAUUUAAAACUACUAAACUUUUAACAAUGGAUCUCUUGGCUCUU
RNAcentral lists this unclassified non-coding RNA (244 nucleotides) under fungal sp. RNAcentral's name for it is "partial internal transcribed spacer region". The stretch from base 1 to 46 matches the Rfam family "Eukaryotic small subunit ribosomal RNA", at positions 1786 to 1831 of the family's 1831-position model. Lineage: Eukaryota; Fungi. The record is from RNAcentral.